AUGGUGGGGGUAGCAGUGCAGUUAUCAGAGACUUGGAGCUUUAGACAUUAUGACGACCCCACACGGUACUACUCAGCAGUUUGGGGAUGAUGUUCCCGACGAGGGCACUCUUGGUUUUGGUCAGGAGGCUAGCCAUGAUUAUGAUGGACCCGAUGGAGCUUUUCGGGCCAUCAUUUAACACAGUUGAUGCAGGCACACGUUCGUGCAACUCCUGGUAGGGAGAAGUCUUUGUACGGGGAGUUCCGUACCCAUAAGCCACCUUCUUUCGAUGGUAGUACUGAUCCGUAGGCGACAGAGUCUUGGAUCAAUCAGAUCGCCAGAAUUUUCACUGUAUUACGUUGUUCAUCCGAAGAGCAGGUUGAUCUUGCAGCGUAUAUGUUGACAGGUGAGGCUUACGAGUGGUGCCAUAUCACUCGUCCAUUAUUAGUAGCCUGGGGACCUCUUACUUGGGAUCAAGACGUGACAAUUGCAGUCCUAUUAGAUUAGGAAUGUGAUUGUGUAAAUCCUAGU
RNAcentral lists this small RNA (510 nucleotides) under Malus domestica (apple). RNAcentral describes it as "sRNA MD06G0001300". The record is from RNAcentral. Lineage: Eukaryota; Viridiplantae; Streptophyta; Magnoliopsida; Rosales; Rosaceae.